Long non-coding RNA from Oncorhynchus tshawytscha (Chinook salmon), 601 nucleotides. The record is from Ensembl. NCBI's taxonomy places the organism in Eukaryota, Metazoa, Chordata, Actinopteri, Salmoniformes, Salmonidae.
GUACAGAGUCAAUGUGGAGGCUAUAUACAGGGGUACUGGUACAGAGUCAAUGUGGAGUCUAUAUACAGGGGGUACUGGUACAGAGUCAAUGUGGAGGCUAUAUACAGGGGGUACUGGUACAGAGUCAAUGUGGAGGCUAUAUACAGGGGGUACCGGUACAGAGUCAAUGUGGAGGCUAUAUACAGGGGGUACUGGUACAGAGUCAAUGUGGAGGCUAUAUACAGGGGGUACCGGUACAGAGUCAACGUGGAGUCUAUAUACAGGGGGUACCAGUACAGAGUCAAUGUGGAGGCUAUAUACAGGGGGUACUGGUACAGAGUCAAUGUGGAGUCUAUAUACAGGGGGUACCGGUACAGAGUCAAUGUGGAGGCUAUAUACAGGGGGUACUGGUACAGAGUCAAUGUGGAGGCUAUAUACAGGGUGUUACGGUACAGAGUCAAUGUGGAGGCUAUAUACAGGGGGUACCGGUACAGAGUCAAUGUGGAGGCUAUAUACAGGGGGUACCGGUACAGAGUCAAUGUGGAGUCUAUAUACAGGGGUACCGGUACAGAGUUAACGUGGAGUCUAUAUACAGGGGGUACCAGUACAGAGUCAAUGUGGA